UGAAACAUCUACAUAUAUAUGAUUAUGUGAUAAUUGGCUAUUUUCCCAUACUGGAAGUGUUGUUCUUCUUUAUCCUAAAAAUAAAAUAGGGACUGCUGCUAAAAGUUGGCUAAGAAACACAGAUUCGUUGUGCUGGGGUUGGAGAAUUGUGCAGAAUGCUCACCUCCCUCCUCACAAAUGAAGGUAAUGCAAAAGCAGCCGAGUGAAUCUGUCAAUUAAACCACAAAAAGAAGAAGCUUGAAUCAUUUUCUGAGACUGCAAGUAAUUGUUUCUUGAAUUCCCAAAGAACAACUGAACUGUCAUAUAUUUAACAACAGAGGAAAUAUCAUUAGCAUUCAUGAUCAAUAGCAGUGGCUAUACUGCAUUGGGGCUCGGAGAAUUCCUCGAUUAUCAUCUUCUGAAUUGAGUUAAACUCAGUACUCUUGGGAUUGUCUAAAGUAGAAUGGAAUAACACAUCUGGCUUUUUUACAAUUGUAACAAGAUUUAUGAGAAAAUAUAAAAGCGCCAAUUUGCCAAUCUAGUUAACAGCUUUUGGGUUUAUUCUAUACAACAAUUACAAGUACUUAAAGAACUUUGGCCUGUCGAAUUCCUAAUUCCAUAACCAAUCAGGAGAGACCUUAAGGCUAUGUUUGGUUCUAGAAAAGUUCGAGAGAAUGAAAAUAGAGAAGGUUGCUAUGUUUGGUUUUCAAAAAGUUUGAAGGAAAUAAAAUAUAAAGGAAGAAUUUAGAGAGAAAAAGGUAAGUAAAAUUUAUAAAUUUUUUAUCUUAUUUGGUUGUGUAAGAAAAAGUAAAUGGAAAUGAAAUUAAAUUGUUGAGGAAUGCAUUUUGCUCAAAUUUUUCUCACUUUUAUCUAGGAAAAUACAGAGGAAAAUCUUUUAGUAUUUUUUCCUCCGCAUAUUCCAUGACAUUCAAAACAUAAGAAAAUAAUUUUCUUUAGCAAUUUUUUUCUUAAUACUUUCCAAGAACCACACAUAUGAAAAGAAAAAGAUGAGAAAUCUUUAAAAAAAAAAAAGGAUUUUCUCUUAUUUGGUCUUUCAUGGAAAAGUUGAGGAAAAACAAAUAAACUACUGAAUAAUGCAUUUUCCAAAAACUUUCCCCACCUUUUUAAGUUAUGUGUGGUUCUCGGAAAAUACUAAGUAAAAAAAAAAUAUAAAGGAAAAUGAUUUUUUCAUGUUUGAUUGUCCUAUGAAAAAUAUAAAAGAAAAUAAAAUAUAAUUAAAACUAAUUAAAAACUUAUGUAUUUUUAAAUUAUUUAAUUUUUAUAUUGAUGAGUUAAAAUAAAUAAAAUGAGUUCGAAGUAACAAAAAAAAUAAUUUAUCGACUUUAAAUCUAUUUUUUAUUUUCCUUCUACUUUUCCUUUGUAUUUUCUUUCCCUUGCAUUUUCCCUCAAAUUUUCUGGGAAUCAAACAUAAUGAGGAGGAAAAUCUUUUGGCAGUAUUCCUCUCAUUUCUUUAGCAAUUUUUUUCCUCAGAUCUUUCCAUGUCCAAACAUAAAAAAAUAAUUUUCAUUAGCAUUCUUUUUCCUUUCCUUUGUAAUUUGCAGGAACCAAACAUAACUAAAAGUUUGAGAAGUAGAUUGCCAAAUUUAGAGUUAAUUAUGGAGGUUUCAAGUCUUUUUUUGAUGGACAUGUUGAACCAUAAGGAAUUUGAAAAUAUUAAGUAGCAUGUUUAAAUUUUCUACUAAUUUUAAAUUUGUUCUGGAUUAACCAAAUGGUAUGCACACAUGACUUACCAACACAGCAUCCAAGCAAUUUCUCAUCAACAAAGGAGAUGCAAGGAUGAGACUACAUCCUAAGUUUUAAAAUCAAGCACUUAAGCCUUACUACUGUAGGAGCAAUCAGGAAGGAUUUGCUGGUGAAUCCAAUAAAAAUAGCAGCUAAAAGUCCAUACUCAAGCUAAAAAAAAAGGGGAUAACACAUUAAUUUAAGCUAAUUUGAAAGAUGAGUAGGGUUCUUACCUCCGAGUUAUAAAACCUAAGUUCUCUACCACACUUGAGAUUGCCUUCUAACUUCUCAAUUGGGUUAACAGGAUGCAAGAAAUCCACAGGUGGCCCCUCAGUUGAGCACAAUAGAAAUCCAAUCACACCACUGUAUAAAAAUAGAAAAACAGUCCGCAAAUAAGAAUGACUUCACAGUUAGCCAAAAGUCAGAGAAUAAAAAAGAGAGAAAAAACCUAAACAUUUUGUAAGUAAUUAUAUCUAAAAAUUACCCAGCGUCUGAAUGACAAGUACAAAUUUGCCUCAGAAAAGAAAUUAUAUUUAAAAAAGGAAACGAAUUUUUAAGUAUCAACUUCACGGCAACAAGAGAACUUUGUAAAAGUUCAUUCUAUCAUUUACAUCAAGUUGUAUGAAGCAACAAUGAACAUAACAACAUUGAAGUAUAAGCAGGACUAGGAACUUGAUAGGGUUAAAAAUCUUCCAAAUCACCCUUAUCAUUUCUGGAAAGGGCAAUAGACCAAAGAGAAAAAAUCAGUAGAGCAAUUAGCCAUAUAUAGAGAUCAAUACAUGAUUACCUUGGAUAUGUAGGAACACUUGCCCAUGCAUAAUGGACCGAACCCUUGAAUGUUUCACGACAAAUAGAAAGCAUAUCCUGAAUAAGAUGUGUGUGGAGCCACAUGCUUUCAGCCAUGUUACAAAGAACACCACCAGGACGCAAAGCUCUGGCUGUUGUCUCAAAAAAUGGUCUCUCGACAAGUUCUUGAGCAGGACCUAAAUGAGGAAAAGAAACCAAACAAGGGAAGUAAAUAAUUACCUUAUUUGCCACAAAUCCCACUUAUUGGGAUAUUACACCUUGAAGACAUAAAAAGUUCAGAAUGAGAAAAAAGGAGGCCUUCAGAUGUUCUCUCUUCUUGGUAUUAUAACAGUAUCUUUCCUGAAUUUGAGAAACGUUUAUUUGGCCACCAGAGUCUGUCUAUAGUUUUUAUUCCAACCCCAACCCUGCUCAUGGACACACUAUACACACCCACACACCCAACUUCCCAAGAAAUAAAUAGAAAAAUUAUGGCAAAGGACAUACCCACAGGAUCUGAUGAAUCAACAAUAAUUGCAUCAUACUUCCCUUCAGGUACAUGUCUAAGAAAUUCAACAGCUGCCAAAAUCAUGAAAAUGAAAUCAAGAAGGUACAGCAAGAUAUUGGAAAAAAGCAGCUGAAGUCAUUAUUCUAGUUACAUAGGAUAAAGUAAGAUCUCUUUGAAAUUAUUUUGAGAAUGAACAUACCAUCCCCAACAUGAAGCUGGACACGAGGGUCUUCAAACCCAACGUAUAACUGUGGGAAAAACUUCUUACACACCUACAAAUAAACAACAGAAAGGAGUUGGUUCAAAUCACAAUGAACAAGCUAAGACCUAAUAACAUGAAAUGGUACAUCACACCACCACUUACAUCUAUAACCAUCUUAUCUAUCUCACAAAUAUCAAUAAGCUCAACAGAGCUAUGACGAGAAAUUUCCCUAAGAACCCCACCAUCACCACCACCAACAACCAGAACCUGCAUCCAGUACUUCAAUUAAAUCCAGUAUACAACUCAGCUUGAAGGGAAGUUAGUGCAAAGGCAUUAAGACAGAAAGAAAUCCAACUCUACAAGCAAUAUAAUCAUUAUUAUUAAUGAGGUACCAUAUAAUACAUAUACAUACGGGUGCAAUUAAAAAAAAAAAUCCCAAUUUGAAAUAAUUAUACUAGUUUCCAAUAUACUUUAAAUUAGGUAAGAAUGAAAUAAUCAUAUCCCACAAAGAGUGAUUGUUAUCCAUCUCAUUUCAGUUGAUUUUCCUUCUGUUUUUCUCUUCACUAAAAAUAUGGAUAUUUAUGAUAGGCAGGUUUGGAAAGAGGAUAAGCAAACUAUUCCUUCAGAUUCAUUUGCAACAUUACACCCCAGAGCUUCACCAGGCAAUUGUAUUUUCAAUGUUAUCAUGUUUUUUGUACAUAUGAUAUGGUAGAAUGAUUCUCAAGUUUUAAUUCUUACAUAUUUAAAUGGUCAAGUUUGAGCAUUUUGCUUCUCUCUUAAAGCUUCUUCACUUUAUUUUAUUGUAAAAUCUAAAAAUUAGCAAAGUGAACUAAUUUCGCAUUAUUUUUAGAUAAAAAUACCUUUCCAUAAUGAAAAAAAUAUAAAACAACAUGAAGAGUAAAACAUUGGCAAAGAUGGCAAAUUAAAAAUGGUUGUGAGAAAGAUAUAAUCCAAGUCAAAAGGAGAACAUUGACAACAUGGAAUAAAACUCCAAUGCUUGGAAAUAGUGAAAUUACUCUCUUGGGGGAUUCAAUUGAACAAAGGGGAAGGUGAGCAAUCAUCUCCUGAUAGGCACAUUCAUCUUUCUCGCUCAACUGAACAAUGCCAUCAAGCACAAGCACUUUGCCAUA
This 4345-nucleotide long non-coding RNA is filed under the name Vitis vinifera (wine grape). Its description in RNAcentral is "long non-coding RNA (VVIN_LNC005559)". The record is from RNAcentral. Lineage: Eukaryota; Viridiplantae; Streptophyta; Magnoliopsida; Vitales; Vitaceae.